This 253-nucleotide ribosomal RNA is filed under the name uncultured bacterium. RNAcentral describes it as "partial 16S ribosomal RNA". It matches the Rfam family "Bacterial small subunit ribosomal RNA", at positions 524 to 776 of the family's 1533-position model. The record is from RNAcentral.
UACGUAGGGUGCGAGCGUUGUCCGGAAUUAUUGGGCGUAAAGAGCUCGUAGGCGGUCUGUCGCGUCGGCUGUGAAAACCCAGGGCUCAACCCUGGGCCUGCAGUCGAUACGGGCAGACUAGAGUCCGGCAGGGGAGACUGGAAUUCCUGGUGUAGCGGUGAAAUGCGCAGAUAUCAGGAGGAACACCGGUGGCGAAGGCGGGUCUCUGGGCCGGAACUGACGCUGAGGAGCGAAAGCGUGGGGAGCGAACAGG